Molecule: ribosomal RNA, 229 nt
Filed under: uncultured bacterium
Lineage: Bacteria
Description: partial 16S ribosomal RNA
Rfam family: Bacterial small subunit ribosomal RNA
Source: RNAcentral
UACGUAGGCGGAAAAUUAAGUCAGUAGUGAAAUCCUGCAGCUCAACUGUAGAACUGUUAUUGAUACUGGUUUUCUUGAAUGUAGUUGAGGUAGGCGGAAUAUGUAAUGUAGCGGUGAAAUGCUUAGAUAUUACAUAGAACACCGAUUGCGAAGGCAGCUUACUAAGCUACGAUUGACGCUGAGGUACGAAAGCGUGGGGAGCGAACAGGAUUAGAUACCCUGGUAGUCC